GGGACACCCGGUGUGAUUCGGCAAUCGGUCUUGGGAAACCGAUUCCCGUGGUUCCUUCUCUGGGGAUUUUAUAUUAGUUGCUGACAUUAGGGUUUCCUUCUGAUCUUGUGGACCCUUUGUAGGUCCGGUUGCUCUGUUCCCCGCCGUCGUGAGAUCUGAUCCAGACUCGUACAGGUGGGUACUUCGAUCCGACGUCGGUACAGUGGUGCACGCUCGGUGACGUUUCCUUUACCCUUGUUGUUUAUAUCUUUUAUCAUAUAUACGUUGAGCCUUGCACCCAUACUGUUUCCUUAUUACUCUACUUAGUUGUUGCCAGGUGUAGUAUCAUGUGUAGGAGUAGAGUAGACUUUAUCUGUAUAUGAUCUUCAUGACCUGGUUGGUCGUCGUUGCAUCUCCUACACUUGUGACCUGGUUAGUGGUUUCUUGUACUUCGUAUCAGUGACCUAGUUGGUUGAUUCUUUGACUUCUGUUGUCCGAUGACCGUUGAGGUCGGUGUACCCUGAGAGGUCGGAUUGUCGGCUAGUGGCUGACGAUAGUUCAUAUCUUAUACUUGUGACAUUGUUGGUCGAGUUUCAUACGCUAUACUGGCGACCUGGUUGGUCGAGUCUUCUGUGUCGUAUCUAGGACCUUGUUGGUCGAGCUUCCUAUCCUAUACUUGUGACCUUGUUGGUCGAGUUUCAUAUCCUGUACUGGUGACCUGGUUGGUCGAGUUUCAUACCCUAUACUUACGACCUGGUUGGUCGAUUUGUUUACAUGAUGACCCAUGCGGUCGAUGGGCCCUGGGGGGCAGGAUUGUCGGCUGGUUGCCGACGGUUGAUCGUUGAGCAUAUUGCAUUGAUCGCCCGAUACUCGUCGCAUUUCACGAACACUGGCGGUCUGAUCCACAGCAAGGAGUGUUCUUUUCCGAAAAAGUGGUUGAAUGGUGACAACCCGUGAGCCCUAGAGGGGUUAUAUGCGUGUUAGAGCGGCAGUGGUACUGUCGGGAGGUGUUGCGGUGCGGACCUCCAGGGCAUUGGCUUGAGGUCUGCGGUGCUGACCAAGAGAGCAUUGGUUUCAGAUUGGGUACUUUUGGACUUCUUGACCGGUUGACGCAUAUGUCUAUAGUAGCAGUCGUUGCAUGCAUACUUACAGUUCUUACUUUAUAGUUGUCUUGCUGCUAUAGUAGAUAUUCAUGUAUGCUUUCGGUUCCAGUUACAGUAGCGGUAGCCGUUAUUCAGUCUAGUUCUUACUUUCUUUCAGUUUAUUGCUACUGUAUUUAGUAUAUCUGCUCAUUACCUCUUACAUCUCUUUUGUUUACUAUUGUUCCUACUGUAUUUCCACUGACCCGUGUUGUUGUAUAGCUCUUCCUGAUCCGGUGAGUACUCCUCGCCUUCUUCGGCUUGCGGUACCCACUGGGAGGGGAGACAUGUUUACAUGUUCUCACCUCCCCCACCAUUUUUCAGGUAUCGCGGGCGAUGAAUAGUGGGACGAGACGUGAGGUACGUGUGUAGCGGUCGAUAGAGCUUCCGACCCAGGUUAUUUCGGUAUAGUUAUUACCCUUAUUAUUUCAGUUGUUAUAGCUUAGAUAGUUAUAUGGUUCAGUAUUUUUAUUACAUUUGAAAAUAUGGAUUUUCGUGAAUGUAAUAAAUGAAUUUCUGGAUUUUGUGAAAUAAAAGGUUUUCUACCCCUCGUGGUAGCGUUUUUAAAGAAUAAAGGUUUCCGUGUAGGAAACAGUUUUCAAAAGGUUUUCUGUGGAUUUUGCAUCUUAGUAUUUCAAAACCUGUUUCUGUGGUUGGAAACAUUUUAACUGAUAGAUGUGGAUUUAUGUUUAAAUAUCGAAUAUAUAAAUGUGAACCUGUGAUGUGAAUGGUGUAUGAAUAUAUAAUUGUUGGUUAUUUGUAUGUUCAUUUGGUUGUGGUUGUACCUGGGUUACUUCUUGUAUUUGUGUGACGCCGUGCAAAUACAGGGGAGACUCUGUCCGUGUAAACAGUGGAUUCCCUGUGUUUGUGGCGGAUCUGGCAUACUCUGGGGUCAGGCUUUUCAAAAGAAAAAAAAAAAUUUUUCAGACGCUUUUCCGCUAUGUUUUAAACUAAAAGAGACCCCGGGGCGUGACAAUGUGUCCUUUGAUGCCACAUCCAUGACGCAGUUUUUCUUUUGAAUUUGUUGAGACUUU
Molecule: long non-coding RNA, 2152 nt
Filed under: Ananas comosus (pineapple)
Lineage: Eukaryota; Viridiplantae; Streptophyta; Magnoliopsida; Poales; Bromeliaceae
Description: long non-coding RNA (ACOM_LNC032689)
Source: RNAcentral